Molecule: ribosomal RNA, 449 nt
Filed under: uncultured bacterium
Lineage: Bacteria
Description: partial 16S ribosomal RNA
Rfam family: Bacterial small subunit ribosomal RNA
Source: RNAcentral
AACGAACGCUGGCGGCAUGCCUAACACAUGCAAGUCGAACGAGAUCUUCGGGUCUAGUGGCGCACGGGUGCGUAACGCGUGGGAAUCUGCCCUUUGGUUCGGAAUAACAGUUGGAAACGACUGCUAAUACCGGAUGAUGACGAAAGUCCAAAGAUUUAUCGCCAGAGGAUGAGCCCGCGUAGGAUUAGCUAGUUGGUGUGGUAAAGGCGCACCAAGGCGACGAUCCUUAGCUGGUCUGAGAGAACGAUCAGCCACACUGGGACUGAGACACGGCCCAGACUCCUGCGGGAGGCAGCAGUGGGGAAUAUUGGACAAUGGGCGAAAGCCUGAUCCAGCAAUGCCGCGUGAGUGAUGAAGGCCUUAGGGUUGUAAAGCUCUUUUACCCGGGAUGAUAAUGACAGUACCGGGAGAAUAAGCUCCGGCUAACUCCGUGCCAGCCGCCGCGGUAA